GGAGAGUAGGUAAAUAUUGGUUUGUUACACCCGACUGCUAAUCGGUUUACUCACAAGGUAAUGAGGGUUCAAUUCCCUUGCUCUCCG
Molecule: transfer RNA, 87 nt
Organism: Flavobacterium sp. 316
Lineage: Bacteria; Pseudomonadati; Bacteroidota; Flavobacteriia; Flavobacteriales; Flavobacteriaceae
Rfam family: tRNA
About the family: Transfer RNA (tRNA) molecules are approximately 80 nucleotides in length. Their secondary structure includes four short double-helical elements and three loops (D, anti-codon, and T loops).
Source: Rfam